AGCUUCUGCUAUUUCAGCUACAGUAUGCGUAGACUGCCAAAGCCAGGAUAUUACAAAUCAGAGAGGUUUAAAACAAGCGACUGGGGGGCUAAAUCCCUCUUUUAGACACACAGUCGACACUCCCUUCACGGGAGGGCGGUGGUUUUUAAUCAUGCCUUAAAAAUUCCUUAAAAGCAGGGGGUCUCCCCUCCGCGAGGGGCGGUCGGCAGAGUGCGUGCCUUAUGAAUAAACCGGCUAUUAGGCUGAUGCUUCAAGUAACAUUAUCCAGCACCAAGUGGCUUGAAUUUGGAGCUCAGAAAAUGAGAAGCACUUCACUAGAGGCCUUCAGUUCGAUACAAGAAACUCGCUACUCUGUAAAUCCCUGAUAAAGACAGAAAUAGAAGUGCUGUGAUCACCACAUCCAGUUCUAACUUGUUACUGGACCACAGUCGAAGAAUGGAACAGUUUUGUUCCCUAGCUGAAUGGCAUGGGAGAAUUCCCAGAAGGUUACUUAUUUUGCUAAUCUCUGCUUAGAAGGUUCUGGUGGCUUCAUUGCUAGCAAAGGCUUAGCCUUGAACAACUGAGAUUUUGGGUAAAUCCCUGAUGCUGAAAACAUGCAGGGGAGAUCUUGUGCUGUUUUUAAGAAAACAGAAACAGAAAACUAACUUUCAUUUUAUAUGCAGCAUGUCCGUGUGGGAUGGACACAGAUCAUACAAAAAUGAGUUAGGAAAGGCUUUUUGGCUGAUAACAACCAUUAUAAUUUUCCUACUGUUGCCAGCUUUGAGUCUGUUUGCCCCCAAACUUUGUGCUGCAUCCAAAGACCUAAAAUUUGGAGUCUGCAGGCCUCGGAGAUGGAGAGAAGUUGAGCAUAAAGAGAGAAGAGAGCCUGCUGAGUAUUUUCAAGACUGAGAUUUGGAAAUAAGUUUCUCUCCUCCACUUACGAAGAAUCUAAAACAGGACCUUAUCAACCAUGGCACAUCCAUAUUUAGAUUUUCUUUACCUAUAUACUUUUUUCCCCCCUUUAUUUUUGUAUGGACAAGUUUUAAAAUAAAUGCAUAUAUGAAAUAAAUUCCACAUCUUAAGUCUUGCAAAUAAGGGAUGUUGUAGGAGUGGUAUGCUUCCUACAUGUUUUCCUAUCGAUGAGAGGGACAGUGGACAUAUAUCACAGGCUUUAUUUUGGUAAGAUGAAUGUUUUCAAGUCAGCAUUAAACCUGAAUACUGAAGUACCAAAAUGCUGUCUUGUCCACUGCUGCCCUCCUAUAGGUCCAUCAGUUUUAACUCUUGGUAAUUCCCAUCCAUUUUAGACUUCUUUCCAUCUUCCACUUCCUCGAUCUCUUCUCAGUAGCACUUUGCCACUGGAGCUACAGAAUAUCUAUCUGGUGUUUCAUGACACCCCCAUAAGUGUGGAGGGGAGAAUGAAAAUGUAGCUAUUCCCAGAUUAUAAUUUUAUGUUGCAAACAGUAAAGUUAAGCAACUGAAAAAGAAGUACAGACUUUUAAUUGUUGAUUUUCAAUUAGAACUCCUUCCCUUCCCCAUGCAAUUAUAUCAAAUCCAUGCUGUGCUUUAGAAAAAUGGGGUGAGGUAGCUCUUCUUACAGCUCACAGUGGAAAUUUUACCAUUCCAGUGAUGCAAAAGGGUUUGUCUGGAGCCCAGAAUAGUGCAGCAUCAUCAUCCUUACACCUCCCCUGUCUUCAACAGCUAAUGGCUCAGUUUCUGCAGAAAUAAUAAUAAUAAUAACGCAAUGGCUAAUCCUGUGUAAGAGUCCCAGUACAGGUGUGACUUUAAAUUUCUUGAAAGCCUUGGAAGGCUCCAGAGGAACAAGUCAAAUGCCUCUGCAUAUGAAUGAAAAGAAAUGUGCAGUUUAGACCUUGAGUAGCUCAGAGUAGUCAAAGUUAAGUAAAUUAAUGUUAUUCAAAGAAAAAAAAUUUUUACAAUAAACCAUUAUAAAAAAAGAAUCUGCAUUUAUUAUGAGAGUAAAGCAGAGGAUAUGGGAAGUCAGGAAUGGAAAUGGAGAAACAGGAUCACUUAUAUUUCCCUCUUUUUAAAAGCAGAAAUGUCAUAUUUUAGCUAAAAGUCCAUACUUUUCUAGCCCAGCUGUUGUGCUUCACAUGAAACUGAGAAAUACUAUAUAAAGCACUUGCUGUUAUGAUAGAAUUUCUCUCUUGCUUUACUGCAGUUCCCUUCUGAACCAGGCUCUAGUUCUGCAUUUCAUGUAAAAUAAAAGGAGCUAGGUGCUUCAGAACUGCCAAGACUGAAUUAGGAGGGCAGCAUCACCAUUUUUCUUUAAUGGUAGUCAUUGGUGUUUCACAUACAGUUACCAUCCAUUAAAGUUUUAAAUUUCACUUAAGAUCCUUCAAAUCCUUUUCACCUUUUUUUUCCAAAUAGCUAUUUGAUGUUUUACUUGUUUAAAAUGGUAGGAAAAAAAUCAGAAAUAGCUAAUUAUUAAAAAUGGCGAUACUGAACAUGACUCUUCGACUGACACCAAACUGUUUUCCACAGAGUAUUUUUCUAUUUCAAGAGAACUUUUCUGUAAUAUAAAAACAUAUUUGUGAAAUCUUCAAUAACAUGAUGGGAUUUUUCAUGUAUAAAGUUGUGCAUGGUGUUAACUGAAAGAGCUUAGUUUAAGAAUGUAGAUGCUUCCUGGCAGAGACUCUGUUACCUCCAGGACCAACAAUUUCUCAUUACUCAAGCUCAAAGACCUUUCCUUCUUUUGUGUAGGAUAUGAUUCAAGGAGUGCCCCACACAAAUUUCUCUUGGGGACAGUGCUGAGGUGAGUAUCAGACAGGGAGAGAGUUGUUUUCUGUUUAUUAGAUAUUCAAGAUAUGGAUGUGCCUCUACAAGUUUUCUCCAAAGGCAGCUUUUCACUCAUAAUGGCUUAAAAAGUCUGGGUCCUGUCAUCUGUGCAAACCAAAAGCCUUAACUGCUCAGAAGGUCAUGUAUUUCUGAUAAAUACAUAAAUAAUUUUUGUUCAUCAUUAUUUUAGAACAAGAAGAGUUCAGGAGCUUGAACAGCAGAAUUACAGAAUUGGAAAGUUAUGUAGACAUCAUUAAAUUCAGAAUUCUAUGGCCACAUUAAAUAGCAGAAGCUGUGAACUGACACUCUUCAUUGCAGAAUCCAUAUGGGGCCAUUCACCUAGAGUGUCUUCCCUCAAGGAAGCAGCUCUAAUCUUCACUAUGUCAAGACUUCUUGGACACAUGAAAUUAUAAAGGAAUCUCAUUGGCAAGUGAAAUAUGGCAACAAGGAAUCAUAUCCAGUAUUGUUGCACCUGCUAAAAGCCUACAUGAAGUGACUGCAAACAUGCCAGCAUUGGCACUGGUGAGUCUUGGUGUGCUGUGUGUUCCUUGGACACUGGUGAGUGGAUAGGACUCAAUAUGAGUAGGGCUGCUCUGCUCAUCUCCAGAGCUAGCACCAACAACCUGAGAAUAUCCCCUUAGUCUCUUUGCCCACUCCUAGCCUUAGCAGAGGUGAUGAAGGUAUCACUUAUCACAAGAGGCCUUGGCACCAUGUUUCUAACCUCCUUAUCACGUUUUCCUUGGGAUAUGUUACUAGCCCUUUGCAUCAGAGCCACAGUAUUCCUCAGCACUACAGCUGUGCUAAAGGAGCCUUCUCCCCAAGAUUCCCUGUGGCAGGUGAUAAGGAUAUUCAGUUUCUGGAAGUGAAGUGAGAUCUCUGCUGUCAAAACAGUGAAAGUGCAACUCCCUGUUCUAUGGAACACCAGGUUCCAAACAUGUCAGCACUUGAAACAUGGAUUAAGUGCAGAAAAUGCAAUGACAAUUUCCUGGCAUAGGUGAUUGGUGAGAUAACUAGAGGAGAUGCCCUGACUGGACUUAAUUACUCAUGAACAAUCUGACUGAGGGUGUAGAGGCUGAAGACAGCUUUGGCUGCAGCUUUGAGUUUGUAUAGUUUAAAAUCCUGAGAUAAACAAGAAAACUAAUAAAAUUGCCAGUCUUGACUUCCAAAGGGCAGAUUUCAGCUUGUUUGGAAAUCUGCUGGACAGGAUCACAUGAAAGGCAGUCAGCUGCCCUGGCACAACUAACUGAACUUCACCCUUCUCAAAACACAGAACUGGUUCCUUCCAAAUCAAGAAAGGUAAGCAAAGGUGCAAGGCUAGUAUGGAUGAACAGAACACUCUAGACUGACUGCAAAUAUGAAAUCUAGCCAAUGGCAGCAUAUGUGUGCUACCCAUCCACUUCACUGUGGUGAGUGGAGUGGUCCAUGAUGGACAGAAGAGGCAAAUAUUAUACCCAUCUUCAAGAAGGCUGAGAAAGGGGAUCCAGGGAACUACAAGCUAAGAACUCUAACCUCAGUCUCCUGGAAGAUUUUUUCCUCCUGGAAACCAUUUCUGAGCUCAUGAAUUGUAAGAAGGUGAUUAAAAAUAGGCAGCAUGAACUUACCAUGGGCAAAUUGCCACUGAUGAAUCUGAUUGAUUGAUCAUUCUGAGGUGGACUGGUUCCAUGGAUGAGGGAAGAGUAGUGCAGGUUGUUUACCUUGGCUUUAGCAGAGUUUUUCCCAAGGUCUUUGAUAGUAUCCUACCAGUCAAAAUAUGGACAGGAUAAGCAGAUUAUAAAGUGGAUGGAAAACUGGUUGAAAUUCCAGGCCAGACAGGUUGUGAUUGGCAGUAUAAAGUCUAUCCCACAACUGGCUGCUAAUGGCAGUCCUCCUCAGGAACAGAUUCUGGGGUAAAUGCAGUUUGGUGUCUUCACUGCUAAUGAUCUGAUCUAAUGGGAGAGAUUGUACUAUCAACAGAUUCAUGGAUCAUACCAGCCUUCAGGGAAGGAGUUGAUAUGCCAGAGGGCAGGGCUGUUGCUUAGAGGGACCGAGACAAGCUGGAGGAAUGUAUUUCCCGGAGUCUCACCAAGCUCAGCAAAGACAGGUAAGACGUCUUGCACAUGCUGGAGAUGAACUGAUUGAAGGGCAGCUUUGUAGAAGGGGACCUGUGGUACUGGUGGACACGAUGAGUACGAGUUGGCAGUUGGGGCAAACAAGGUCAGCCUCAUCCCACAUUGUAUUAGCAAACUGCAACCAGCAGGUCUAGGGAAGUAAUUGUUCUCUCUCACUGGUGCUUGUGAGACUGCUUCUGGAGUACUGUUUUUGCUGCCCAGUAAAAGAGACCGACACAUGGUUUUGAAUGCAGCAGAGUCACUAAGAUCACACAGGCUGAAGUACGUGUGUAUGAGCCAAGUGUGAUAGCGUGGAUAUAGGAAAGGGAUCCAAACUCUUUGAAAUGUAUGGUGACAGGGGAAGAGCUAAUGGACACAAGUUGCAAUACAGGAAAUUCUGCCUGUAAGGAAAAACAUUUUCAUUGUUAAUAUAAUCAAAUGCUGGAAUGGACUUCCAGUCAAUAUUGUGGAAUCUUGGACCUUGAAGAAAUUCAAAAGCUGACUGAGGAAGAUGCUUUGAAUGAGGAGUUGAACUAGCAGACUUACAGGGAUCACUUUCAACCUGUCCAUCAGAGGAGAGGAGCGAAGACCAGCAAAUGGCAAUAAUUUGCCACUGCAGUUCUGCUUGAACCCUUAUUGUCAGAGAGCUCUAGUGUCAAAGAUGAGGCAUCUACACAUUUCUACACUGAAAGAUGGCAGCUAAGUUUUCAUUUGAGAACUGCAAGUUUCAAUGAAGAACCCUAAGGCCUGAAUAUCUUUUUGAGUCUGGUUCUUAAUAGUCAACUUAAAAAAGAAUGGAUCUGUUUUCAAAGUGUGCAGGCUUUUCUCCUGAAGACAUGAAAGACAUAGGAGGGUGAUUGAUCAGGAUUGCUUUGAGGGAUGUUUUCUUUCCUGUUGUCCUAAGAUGAGGUUGGAGGUUAUAGGAAGUGGCAGAUAUUUUGGAAUGGCCCUAUUGUUUACAGGACUUUAAAUUGUUGUUUUCAUUCGUGAGUUAAUAGUGUUAAAAAUAAGUGAAUGCAUACUUGUAGCUAGUGUACAUGAUUGCAUUUGGCACGUUUUAGGAGUUAGAUGGUAGUUGUUUUCUAGCUGGUGCUAAUUUCCAUUUUCAGACACUCUGCUUAACUUCAGCAUUAGCAAAAUUAUAUGAGAAAGUGAUGUUGCUGCACUCUGUGUUGUGCAGGGCUGUAAAUGUAGGCAUGCAUUACAGGAAUAUUUGUGUAGAAUGAAAAGCUAAUAUACAUCAGUGUUUUGUUAAAAAGUAUGCACAUUCUGUACAUAGUGCUUGGGAAAAAAGUCAUUUUCUCUUCAUGGCUGAUCAAAUUCUAUAUAUUUUAUAAGAAAACUUUUUGUGUCACUAAAAAUAAAUAAAUAUUAUGCAU
Taeniopygia guttata (zebra finch) is the source of this 6238-nucleotide long non-coding RNA. NCBI's taxonomy places the organism in Eukaryota, Metazoa, Chordata, Aves, Passeriformes, Estrildidae. The record is from Ensembl.